AAAUUUAUUUUAGUGGCACAUGUGUAUGUGUUUGUGUGAACAUGUGUAUAUUAUGUUUGUACACGCACACAACAAUAGUAGGUCCUCAGAGAGGGUCUGCUUGUGUUUCCCCAGGAUCACCGACAACCGCUGUGGGUUCCAGAACGGCUGACCAGAGCAAUUCAAAACAAGCAGAACAAUGAGGGCGUGGAUGUUCCUGUGUCUGGGAAUGCUCCCGCUAGUGAGAACUGAAGAGCUCUAUGUUCCUGAAACCCAUGCUGUUGACACAUUCAAGUGUUUCCUCAAUUCUUUACAUCUAAUGCUUCACUACCUCUUGGCUUACCUCUGCAUUUUCCUAUUUUAAGGAGUGGGUGAGAGUUGUUCUUUUAGGCGCUGCCAUAUCCUGUGGAUUGGUAUUCAUGCUUUGGUUGGUUUGCAAGUUCAGAUCUCAACAGAAACGUGACAAGGUGGUCAUCACCCAAGCACUCAUGGCCAUUGAACAAAGGGCCUCCUCCGAAGUAUGGUUAUCCAUGCUACAUAAAUAAUAGACAUUCGAGUCCUUAGCUCUAGCACCUCACGGGUCUGUGUACCCAUUGCACUGGGAUGAGUAAGACUCGAUUUCCUUGAUCAGCCCUUGCACAUCACUGAGGCUAUGCCCAUUGCAUGCGAUAGGGUGAUCAUGGUCUGCCAAAAAACGAGAUCCUUCUUGAUCGUUGCGAGCUGAAGAGGCUAGUGACUAGAUUGUUGGAUUAGGCCAUAAUAAUAAAAAAGGGGGAGAUGUGGGAAGCCACAUACACCAUUACAAGAUGGCGCUGGCUACCGCUUGUCACCGCCCGUAAGUUCUGGUAAACAAACAAUGUGCGCAUGUGCAUAAGGGUUUAGCGUCAAGUCACAGCCCAUCCUGGGAAUGUAAAUGAGGCACUGAAAGCACAACCAAUCAGGUAUAGACACACCACUCCUAGGCCUAUAUAAGUGGUGCCAGUUUUGGGGCUCGGGGUCUUCUUGCCUUCGCUAUCAAGCUCUUCCAAUAAACAUGUGCAGAAGAA
This is a long non-coding RNA of Mus musculus (house mouse), 1025 nucleotides long. RefSeq annotates it as predicted gene, 45983. NCBI's taxonomy places the organism in Eukaryota, Metazoa, Chordata, Mammalia, Rodentia, Muridae. The record is from RefSeq and is a predicted model, not a curated record. The transcript has 2 exons.